UCCGUGCCUUCCUGCUCGCCUGUUGGGUAGCAGGGGCGGCGGCGCCCCUCGCCGACCACCGAUUGGCCAGCGUGGCCGGCAGCCGAGGCGCCCCGCCGCCCGCUCGCCUCGCCUCCCCUCCCCCUUCCUUUAAAUACCGAGCUCGGCCCCUUGCUAAAACCCUAGCCCUCAACUCUCCAGUUCCACCAUUGCCGCCGCCCCCAAGCUUCUUCCCCGUCGUCGAUUCGUUGUCUCCGGGCUUCCCGACGGAGCUCUCCCGUCGUCGCCGCCUGUCCUCAUUGCGCCGCCUCCUCCGCCGCCGUUCCCUACAGUCUGUGUCGCGGUGACCGAACCGUCGGAGAACGAGCCCGUUGAGCCUGCUGAAGUCGCCGAAACCGAGCCCGGUGUUGAGUUUUUUGUUGAGCCCGAGGAGAACUAAGGCAAGCAGCUAAGCAUGAUUCCUUGCACCUAUUUAAAUUGAUUUAAUUUAGUUAUCUCAAUUGGGUAUUUAUGGGUUAUGUAUAUAUUAUGUUAUUUAUUGCAUUGUGAAACCUACUUUUA
Long non-coding RNA from Panicum virgatum (switchgrass), 540 nucleotides. RefSeq lists it as uncharacterized. The record is from RefSeq and is a predicted model, not a curated record. The transcript is spliced from 3 exons. NCBI's taxonomy places the organism in Eukaryota, Viridiplantae, Streptophyta, Magnoliopsida, Poales, Poaceae.